RNAcentral lists this unclassified non-coding RNA (217 nucleotides) under Hevea brasiliensis (rubber tree). Lineage: Eukaryota; Viridiplantae; Streptophyta; Magnoliopsida; Malpighiales; Euphorbiaceae. The record is from RNAcentral.
ACUUGUUAAGUUAAUAUCAAAAGAAAAGGUACUUGCUUUCGUUGAAGAAACAGCUAGACUUUUGGAAUAUGAAAGCGGUGGGAUUUUAGUGGCAAUAGAAAGAGUGCCAAAAGGUUAUGCUCUUAUUUUCUACCGUGGGAAGAACUAUAGGCGGCCUAUCAGCCUCAGGCCAAGGAACCUUCUGACAAAAGCAAAAGCACUAAAACGUAGAGUGGCA